AUCAUUUUUAUUGUUGUAUUUUUCAUAUAUUUAUACCGUGAUGAUUUUUUUACCUGAUAAAAAUUGUGUAAGACCUGUAUUGGUGUUAUGUUUUGUUGUUGUUCUAUGUAUAGUUGGUUGUUUUUUGAUGUGUUUGGCUAGUUUUAUGUAUUGGUCAGAGGGUUCUUUGUGUAUUGGUCAUAGGGUUGUUAGUGUAUUGGUCAUAUUUACAAUUACA
This 217-nucleotide long non-coding RNA is filed under the name Lathyrus oleraceus (garden pea). RNAcentral describes it as "Pisum sativum (pea) long non-coding RNA (PSAT_LNC014708)". Lineage: Eukaryota; Viridiplantae; Streptophyta; Magnoliopsida; Fabales; Fabaceae. The record is from RNAcentral.